GAGAAUGCCGGUGUGAGUAGCGAAAGACGGGUGAGAAUCCCGUCCACCGAUUGACUAAGGUUUCCAGAGGAAGGCUCGUCCGCUCUGGGUUAGUCGGGUCCUAAGCUGAGGCCGACAGGCGUAGGCGAUGGAUAACAGGUUGAUAUUCCUGUACCACCUAUAAUCGUUUUAAUCGAUGGGGGGACGCAGUAGGAUAGGCGAAGCGUGCGAUUGGAUUGCACGUCUAAGCAGUAAGGCUGAGUAUUAGGCAAAUCCGGUACUCGUUAAGGCUGAGCUGUGAUGGGGAGAAGACAUUGUGUCUUCGAGUCGUUGAUUUCACACUGCCGAGAAAAGCCUCUAGAUAGAAAAUAGGUGCCCGUACCGCAAACCG
Molecule: ribosomal RNA, 370 nt
Filed under: Staphylococcus aureus
Lineage: Bacteria; Bacillati; Bacillota; Bacilli; Caryophanales; Staphylococcaceae
Description: partial 23S ribosomal RNA
Rfam family: Bacterial large subunit ribosomal RNA
Source: RNAcentral